UGCGAGUCGAGCGGUAACAUUUCUAGCUUGCUAGAAGAUGACGAGCGGCGGACGGGUGAGUAUUGCUUGGGAAUAUGCCUUAUGGUGGGGGACAACAGUUGGAAACGACUGCUAAUACCGCAUAACGUCUACGGACCAAAGGAGGGGAUCUUCGGACCUUUCGCCAUUUGAUUAGCCCAAGUGAGAUUAGCUAGUUGGUAAGGUAAAGGCUUACCAAGGCGACGAUCUCCAGCUGGUUUGAGAGGAUGAUCAGCCACACUGGGACUGAGACACGGCCCAGACUCCUACGGGAGGCAGCAGUGGGGAAUAUUGCACAAUGGGCGAAAGCCUGAUGCAGCCAUGCCGCGUGUGUGAAGAAGGCCUUCGGGUUGUAAAGCACUUUCAGUUGUGAGGAAAGGGAUGUAGUUAAUAACUGCAUUCUGUGACGUUAACAACAGAAGAAGCACCGGCUAACUUCGUGCCAGCAGCCGCGGUAAUACGAGGGGUGCAAGCGUUAAUCGGAAUUACUGGGCGUAAAGCGUUCGUAGGCGGUCUAUUAAGCAAGAUGUGAAAGCCCAGGGCUCAACCUUGGAACUGCAUUUUGAACUGGUAGACUAGAGUACUGUAGAGGGUGGUGGAAUUUCCAGUGUAGCGGUGAAAUGCGUAGAGAUUGGAAGGAACAUCAGUGGCGAAGCGGCCAUCUGGACAGAUACUGACGCUGAGGAACGAAAGCGUGGGGAGCGAACAG
This 727-nucleotide ribosomal RNA is filed under the name uncultured Colwellia sp. RNAcentral describes it as "bacterial SSU rRNA". It matches the Rfam family "Bacterial small subunit ribosomal RNA", at positions 56 to 775 of the family's 1533-position model. The record is from RNAcentral. Lineage: Bacteria; Pseudomonadati; Pseudomonadota; Gammaproteobacteria; Alteromonadales; Colwelliaceae.